GACGAACGCUGGCGGCAUGCCUAACACAUGCAAGUCGAACGGAGAUUACUUCGGUAAUCUUAGUGGCGAACGGGUGAGUAACGCGUGGGCAACCUGCCCUCUAGAUGGGGACAACAUCCCGAAAGGGGUGCUAAUCCCGAAUGUGACAGCAAUCUCGCAUGAGGAUGCUGUGAAAGAUGGCCUCUAUGUAUAAGCUAUCGCUAGAGGAUGGGCUUGCGUCUGAUUAGCUAGUUGGGGGGGUAACGGCCUACCAAGGCGAUGAUCAGUAGCCGGUCUGAGAGGAUGAACGGCCACAUUGGGACUGAGACACGGCCCAGACUCCUACGGGAGGCAGCAGUGGGGAAUCUUCCGCAAUGGGCGAAAGCCUGACGGAGCAAUGCCGCGUGAGUGAUGAAGGAAUUCGUUUCGUAAAGCUCUUUUGUUUAUGACGAAUGUGCAGAUUGUGAACAAUGAUUUGUAAUGACGGUAGUAAACGAAUAAGCCACGGCUAACUACGUGCCAGCAGCCGCAGUAA
RNAcentral lists this ribosomal RNA (514 nucleotides) under uncultured bacterium. Its description in RNAcentral is "partial 16S ribosomal RNA". It matches the Rfam family "Bacterial small subunit ribosomal RNA", at positions 28 to 523 of the family's 1533-position model. The record is from RNAcentral.